This 334-nucleotide ribosomal RNA is filed under the name uncultured eukaryote. Its description in RNAcentral is "partial 18S ribosomal RNA". It matches the Rfam family "Eukaryotic small subunit ribosomal RNA", at positions 1470 to 1796 of the family's 1831-position model. The record is from RNAcentral.
CCCUUAGAUGUCCGGGGCCGCACGCGCGCUACACUGAAGGAAUCAGCGUGGCUUUCUCCCUGACCCGAAAGGGUUGGGAAACCCGUUGAAUCUCCUUCGUGAUAGGGAUUGGGGCUUGAAAUUGUUCCCCAUGAACGAGGAAUUCCCAGUAAGCGCGAGUCAUAAGCUCGCGUUGAUUACGUCCCUGCCCUUUGUACACACCGCCCGUCGCUACUACCGAUUGAACGGUUUAGUGAGGGCCUCGAAUUGGUCUCGGCCCGCUCUUUACCGGGCGGCGCCGUUGGUCGAGAAGACGCUCGAACUUGAUCGUUUAGAGGAAGUAAAAGUCGUAACA